Molecule: unclassified non-coding RNA, 792 nt
Filed under: Hevea brasiliensis (rubber tree)
Lineage: Eukaryota; Viridiplantae; Streptophyta; Magnoliopsida; Malpighiales; Euphorbiaceae
Source: RNAcentral
CUCAGCUACAGCUGUAUUGUUGCUUAUCAUACAAACAGCACGCUGUACCCUGGCAAGAUCACCUCCAGGUACUACCGUUGGGGGCUGGUAGUUGAUACCACACUUGAAACCAGUUGGGCACCUGAAAGUAUGCAUACACAACAUUACAUUUCCAACAGAAAGAGAGAAUGAAGUGCAAACAUAUAUUUAAUGAAAAUCACGUGCUAGGAUAGUGAGAAAUCAUAUUAUUUCAGCAAAAAGGGAACACUAAUCCUAGUGAUACAGAAUCCGAUUCCCUUUCAAAAAAACCUAGAAUUAUAGCAUCUAUUGAUCCUAAAGAGAAGUUUGUAUUCACUUGAGCUUUUCUACAUUACUUUCAAAGAAAAUAAUUCCAAUACUUGAAAGAGUAGCAGGUAGGAGUCUAUAAACUCUGAAAUGUGAACAAUUUCUUAUACAGUAAAAUCUUUUUAAAGCCCCUUCAAGAUGAUGGAAUCGUGCCCUAAUUGCUAAGUGAAUUUAACCAUUCAAAUUUCAUGCCUCAAAGAAUGACAGCUGCUAAUUAAAUGGCAAAGCCAAAACUGGCACGAUACACAAACAGAAUGAUGAAAACCUUAUUUCUAUCUUGAGCAGGAGGGGACAAUCACAAUAGCAGUUGGCCCCCUAAAAGAUGCAGCAUAUAAGAACAAUACCAAUGCAACAUGCUAUGACUGAUGAAGCAAAUCUCAUCUCAGAAGGGGGGGAAAAGUAUUGCUAAAUGUUAAUUCUGAUAGAUUAGGCGCAAGUUAUGUCAACUCACCAGUCAACAAAUUGAAC